AUUGAACGCUGGCGGCAGGCCUAACACAUGCAAGUCGAGCGGAUGAAGGGAGCUUGCUCCUGGAUUCAGCGGCGGACGGGUGAGUAAUGCCCAGGAAUCUGCCUGGUAGUGGGGGAUAACGUCCGGAAACGGGCGCUAAUACCGCAUACGUCCUGAGGGAGAAAGUGGGGGAUCUUCGGACCUCACGCUAUCAGAUGAGCCUAGGUCGGAUUAGCUAGUUGGUGGGGUAAAGGCCUACCAAGGCGACGAUCCGUAACUGGUCUGAGAGGAUGAUCAGCCACACUGGAACUGAGACACGGUCCAGACUCCUACGGGAGGCAGCAGUGGGGAAUAUUGGACAAUGGGCGAAAGCCUGAUCCAGCCAUGCCGCGUGUGUGAAGAAGGUCUUCGGAUUGUAAAGCACUUUAAGUUGGGAGGAAGGGCAGUAAGUUAAUACCUUGCUGUUUUGACGUUACCAACAGAAUAAGCACCGGCUAACUUCGUG
Molecule: ribosomal RNA, 484 nt
Filed under: uncultured bacterium
Lineage: Bacteria
Description: partial 16S ribosomal RNA
Rfam family: Bacterial small subunit ribosomal RNA
Source: RNAcentral